AUGACACAGAACAUUGGCAACACUUCUAAGUCUUGUUUAUAGAGCUAAAUUAAUUUAGUUGAUAAAAUCUGACUUGAUAACAUACAUGUACGUGCAUGCACACACACACGCACGUGCGUACGAGCAGAAGAUUUGCGAAGGCUGGGAGAAGUGAGGUGAGUAUGUUCCACUGGAUGUACAAUUUUGGUCUGUAUGAAGGACAAAGUGCAAAACAACAGAGAAAAGCUGGAUAAAAGGAAAAUCAGAUGUGAUGAGUCUGAAAUAAAUCUUCAUAGAAUGCAUAUAGAGGAUGACUGUGAAAUGAAGAAAUACAAAAUCAUCUAAUUGGAGGGAGCCAGAAGAAAAAUCCAGGAGAAAGAACACCAAGCGAUCAGACAAGUAGCAAGAUGGUGUGAUCAGAGAAAACCAUUCCAAUGAAAUGAAAGAACAAAUCGUAGAUACUGAUGAUGUAGUAGUAAUAAUAAGAUCAUUAAUAACCACUCAAGAUUAUUUACAUUUGAUGGAUAUUUGUCCUCAUCUUGUUUGUUGUUAACACAACGUUUCAGCUGAUAUACCCUCCAGCCUUCAUCAGGUGUGUUGGGGGAAAUUUCGAACCUGGGUUCUCAUUCCUAAGGAAUUUAGUAUGAGUGGAAAUUUGAGAAACAGUGAAUGAAAAUGGAUCAUGAAGCAGAACUGGAAAACAGAGAAUGCGGAAAUGGUUAGAUAGAAAUGAACCGAAGAAUUUCAAAGACCACCACUGUGAAGAUUAACAGUUUGCAGAAUACAUGACAAAUUUGUACAGACUGGGCCCAUUUGUAAUGCACAGACAAGUGGUCAACUGGUCAGUGUUAUGACUGAAGAAGAUGAAAUGCUUGUGGCUCAAACAUUUGCUUAACUGUCCCCAGAAAUCAAAAUAAAAGGGGCUUCUGAUGAACUAGGCAAUUCCCACAAAUCACUUUGUCAACUUAUGAAUCACUUAGAAACAGAGAAAUGAAAAAGACAUUCCACUCAUAUUAAACAACUGUUUUCCCACCGUUAUAGAUCUGUUGUAUGUAUACACAUAUGUGUCAAGUAUUUGUAGAAACACAAUAUAAUACCUACAAAUGCCUUUAGAUCUUAAAAUUGACCUACUUGAGACGACUCUGGUGCUGGAAAAAAGUUUCCAUCUUACAAGGGUAAAAAAACUCAAUCUUUCUGUUGUUUUUACAGCUAUACUGUGCUAAAAAUUUACUCUCUUGUCUGUAAAAUACCAAACACAACUGACACUUCCAAAGUGUGUUUAUAAAAUGUUAUCGCAAAAGUUUUAA
Long non-coding RNA from Octopus bimaculoides (California two-spot octopus), 1286 nucleotides. Lineage: Eukaryota; Metazoa; Mollusca; Cephalopoda; Octopoda; Octopodidae. The record is from RefSeq and is a predicted model, not a curated record.